Gossypium hirsutum (cotton) is the source of this 145-nucleotide non-coding RNA. The record is from Rfam. Lineage: Eukaryota; Viridiplantae; Streptophyta; Magnoliopsida; Malvales; Malvaceae.
UAUUAAAAUUUUCAUCUAUUUUUAUUAUUAAAAAUUGGUGUAGUUAAUAGAAUAACUAGGCAAUUACAUCUAGCCUGCCACGUGUACCUCAUGCUGACAUACAAAAACUUGUUUUUAAUAAUAAAAAUGGAUGAAAAUUUUAGCA